RNAcentral lists this ribosomal RNA (305 nucleotides) under uncultured bacterium. RNAcentral's name for it is "partial 16S ribosomal RNA". It matches the Rfam family "Bacterial small subunit ribosomal RNA", at positions 508 to 807 of the family's 1533-position model. The record is from RNAcentral.
ACAGCAGUAGCCGCGGUAAUACAGAGGGUGCAAGCGUUAAUCGGAAUUACUGGGCGUAAAGCGCGCGUAGGUGGUUUGUUAAGUUGGAUGUGAAAGCCCCGGGCUCAACCUGGGAACUGCAUCCAAAACUGGCAAGCUAGAGUACGGUAGAGGGUGGUGGAAUUUCCUGUGUAGCGGUGAAAUGCGUAGAUAUAGGAAGGAACACCAGUGGCGAAGGCGACCACCUGGACUGAUACUGACACUGAGGUGCGAAAGCGUGGGGAGCAAACAGGAUUAGAUACCCCUGUAGUCCCUGUCUCUUAUAC